This 168-nucleotide unclassified non-coding RNA is filed under the name uncultured Trichoderma. Its description in RNAcentral is "sequence contains ITS1". Lineage: Eukaryota; Fungi; Ascomycota; Sordariomycetes; Hypocreales; Hypocreaceae. The record is from RNAcentral.
CCGAGUUUACAACUCCCAAACCCCUAUGUGAACGUUACCAAAAUGUUGCCUCGGCGGGGAAUUUAUUCAUGCCCCGGGCGCGUCGCAGCCCCGGACCAAGGCGCCCGCCGGAGGACCAACCAAAACUCUUGUUUUUUUAGUAUCUCUGAGUCAACUAUAAAUAAGUUA